GGGGAAUCUUCCGCAAUGGACGAAAGUCUGACGGAGCAACGCCGCGUGAGUGAUGACGGCCUUCGGGCUGUAAAGCUCUGUUAAUCGGGACGAAUGGUUCUUGUGCGAAUAGUGCGAGGAUUUGACGGUACCGGAAUAGAAAGCCACGGCUAAUUACGUGCCAGCAGCCGCGGUAAUACGUAGGUGGCAAGCGUUGUCCGGAAUUAUUGGGCGUAAAGCGCGCGCAGGCGGCUUCUUAAGUCUGUCUUAAAAGUGCGGGGCUUAACCCCGUGAUGGGAUGGAAAUUGGGAAGCUCAGAGUAUCGGAGAGGAAAGCGGAAUUCCUAGUGUAGCGGUGAAAUGCGUAGAUAUUAGGAAGAACACCAGUGGCGAAGGCGACUUUCUGGACGAAAACUGACGCUGAGGCGCGAAAGCCAGGGGAGCGAACGGGAUUAGAUACCCCGGUAGUCCUGGCCGUAAACGAUGGGUACUAGGUGUAGGAGGUAUCGACCCCUUCUGUGCCGGAGUUAACGCAAUAAGUACCCCGCCUGGGGAGUACGACCGCAAGGUUG
RNAcentral lists this ribosomal RNA (550 nucleotides) under uncultured bacterium. RNAcentral's name for it is "bacterial SSU rRNA". It matches the Rfam family "Bacterial small subunit ribosomal RNA", at positions 356 to 896 of the family's 1533-position model. The record is from RNAcentral.